This 380-nucleotide ribosomal RNA is filed under the name uncultured eukaryote. Its description in RNAcentral is "partial 18S ribosomal RNA". It matches the Rfam family "Eukaryotic small subunit ribosomal RNA", at positions 592 to 976 of the family's 1831-position model. The record is from RNAcentral.
CAAUAGCGUAUAUUAAAGUUGUUGCAGUUAAAAAGCUCGUAGUUGGAUUUGUGGCUGUCACGGGCGGCCUAUCACUUAGUGUUAGUGCUUGCCUGUGUCGCCAUCCUUGGGUGGAGCCCGUGUGGCAUUAGGUCGUCGUGCGGGGGAUGCCCAUCGUUUACUGUGAGAAAAUUAGAGUGUUCAAAGCAGGCUUAUGCCGUUGAAUAUGUUAGCAUGGAAUAAUAAGAUAGGACCUCGGUACUAUUUUGUUGGUUUGCGCACCGAGGUAAUGAUUAAUAGGGACAGUUGGGGGUAUUCGUAUUUCAUUGUCAGAGGUGAAAUUCUUGGAUUUCUGAAAGACGAACUACUGCGAAAGCAUUUACCAAGGAUGUUUUCAUUAA